AAUCCAAGACGGAAGAUUGAAGAAAUUCAGAGGCUAGGGUUGAAAGAGGGGAGAAUUAGGGUUAAAGGGGAGGAUAGGUUAAAAAAUGGAAGGGGAGAGAGUAAGGUUUUAGGAGGGAAGAAUAAGGUUUAGGGAGAAGGAUUGGGAGGAGAGCUUCAUGCUUCGGGAAGGAAAAAAAAGACAGAGAAUUGGGUUUUUUUUUCUUCGUAGGGUUUUAGGAAGAUUGAGGCAAUCGUUGGUGAAGUCAGUGUUGUAAUGGUGAAUCGAGAUUUUUAAUGAAGUGGGUGUGAUUACUCUUAAUUGUUUUGUGAAAUCGAAGUUACGUCUGUGAUUGAAGAAUUAAAAGGGUGUCUAUAGGAUUGAGUAUGCGGAAUGAAUGAAAUUUAUUGGGUUAAUCUAACGAGACAGUCAGUGGAUACAAGAUCGUGAGUAUAAAGCAA
This 440-nucleotide long non-coding RNA is filed under the name Physcomitrium patens. RNAcentral's name for it is "long non-coding RNA (PPAT_LNC014916)". The record is from RNAcentral. Lineage: Eukaryota; Viridiplantae; Streptophyta; Bryopsida; Funariales; Funariaceae.